Molecule: ribosomal RNA, 759 nt
Filed under: uncultured Prevotella sp.
Lineage: Bacteria; Pseudomonadati; Bacteroidota; Bacteroidia; Bacteroidales; Prevotellaceae
Description: bacterial SSU rRNA
Rfam family: Bacterial small subunit ribosomal RNA
Source: RNAcentral
GAUGAACGCUAGCUACAGGCUUAACACAUGCAAGUCGAGGGGAAACGACAUUGAAGCUUGCUUCGAUGGGCGUCGACCGGCGCACGGGUGAGUAACGCGUAUCCAACCUGCCUCUGACUAAGGGAUAACCCGGCGAAAGUCGGACUAAUACCUUAUGAGGUUUUCAGCAGACAUCUAAUGAAAACGAAAGAUUUAUCGGUCAGCGAUGGGGAUGCGUCUGAUUAGCUUGUUGGCGGGGUAACGGCCCACCAAGGCAACGAUCAGUAGGGGUUCUGAGAGGAAGGUCCCCCACAUUGGAACUGAGACACGGUCCAAACUCCUACGGGAGGCAGCAGUGAGGAAUAUUGGUCAAUGGGCGAGAGCCUGAACCAGCCAAGUAGCGUGCAGGAAGACGGCCCUAUGGGUUGUAAACUGCUUUUAUGUGGGGAUAAAGUGAGCUACGUGUAGUUUAUUGCAGGUACCACAUGAAUAAGGACCGGCUAAUUCCGUGCCAGCAGCCGCGGUAAUACGGAAGGUCCAGGCGUUAUCCGGAUUUAUUGGGUUUAAAGGGAGCGUAGGCCGUGGAUUAAGCGUGUUGUGAAAUGUAGACGCUCAACGUCUGAAUUGCAGCGCGAACUGGUUCACUUGAGUAUGCACAACGUAGGCGGAAUUCGUCGUGUAGCGGUGAAAUGCUUAGAUAUGACGAAGAACUCCGAUUGCGAAGGCAGCUUACGGGAGCACAACUGACGCUGAAGCUCGAAGGUGCGGGUAUCAAACAGG